This is a non-coding RNA of Ustilago hordei, 108 nucleotides long. NCBI's taxonomy places the organism in Eukaryota, Fungi, Basidiomycota, Ustilaginomycetes, Ustilaginales, Ustilaginaceae. The record is from the annotation of a RefSeq genome assembly.
GGGCCAAUCGUAUAGUGGCUUAUUAUGCUGUCUUAGGGUUACGAGGUUGCAACCACGAUCCUAAGUUGACAGAGGUCCCCGGUUCGAUUCCGGGUUGGCCCCCCCCCC